This 214-nucleotide unclassified non-coding RNA is filed under the name soil metagenome. Its description in RNAcentral is "partial internal transcribed spacer 1". The record is from RNAcentral.
ACACUUUUAAUUGAUGGUUUUCCUUUUUUUUUCUUUAACACGAAAAAAAAGGACAAGCCUAAUCCAAACCAAAUUACCCAAAUUUUUUUACAAAGUGCUGGUGUUUUGCAAUUAUUUUGCGAAACCAUUUUUUCUUUUUAAACAAAAACCCCAAAUCUUUCAUUGCAAAUGCAAUUGACAAUCUUAAAAAUACAAAACUACUAAUGUAACCAAA